ACACUGACGACAUGGUUCUACAAUCAACUUUCGAUGGUAGGAUAGAGGCCUACCAUGGUGGUAACGGGUAACGGGGUGUUAGGGCACGACACCGGAGAGGGAGCCUGAGAAACGGCUACCACAUCCAAGGAUGGCAGCAGGCGCGCAAAUUAUCCAAUCCCGACACGGGGAGGUAGUGACAAUAAAUAACAAUACGGGGUUCUUUAGGAUCUCGUAAUUGGAAUGAGUACAAUUUAAAUCUCUUAACGAGGAACAAUUGGAGGGCAAGUCUGGUGCCAGCAGCCGCGGUAAUUCCAGCUCCAAUAGCGUAUAUUAAAGUUGUUGCAGUUAAAAAGCUCGUAGUUGAAUUUCGGGGUUAGUAGGUUGGUCAUGCCUCCGGUAUGUACUGAUCUCACUGAUUCCUCCUUCCUUAUGAACCGUAAUGCCAUUAAUUUGGUGUUGCGGGGAAUUUGGACUGUUACUUUGAAAAAAUUAGAGUGUUUAAAGCAGGCUAACGCUUGAAUACAUUAGCAUGGAAUAAUGAAAUAGGACGUUCGAUCUUAUUUUGUUGGUUUCUAGGAUUGACGUAAUGAUUAAUAGGGAUAGUUGGGGGCAUUAGUAUUCAAUUGUCAGAGGUGAAAUUCUUGGAUUUAUUGAAGACUAACUACUGCGAAAGCAUUUGCCAAGGAUGUUUUCAUUAAUCAAGAACGAAAGUUAGGGGAUCGAAGACGAUCAGAUACCGUCGUAGUCUUAACCAUAAACUAUGCCGACUAGGGAUCGGAUGAUGUUAAUUUUUUAAUGACUCAUUCGGCGCCUUACGGGAAACCAAAGUGUUUGGGUUCAGACCAAG
RNAcentral lists this ribosomal RNA (829 nucleotides) under uncultured Glomus. RNAcentral's name for it is "SSU rRNA". It matches the Rfam family "Eukaryotic small subunit ribosomal RNA", at positions 292 to 1116 of the family's 1831-position model. The record is from RNAcentral. Lineage: Eukaryota; Fungi; Glomeromycota; Glomeromycetes; Glomerales; Glomeraceae.